Molecule: ribosomal RNA, 526 nt
Filed under: Tritia miga
Lineage: Eukaryota; Metazoa; Mollusca; Gastropoda; Neogastropoda; Nassariidae
Description: partial 16S ribosomal RNA
Rfam family: Bacterial large subunit ribosomal RNA
Source: RNAcentral
CAAAAACAUGGCUCCUUGAAAUUUAAUAAUAAGGAGUCGGACCUGCCCAGUGAAUUUUUUCACGGCCGCGGUACUCUGACCGUGCAAAGGUAGCAUAAUCAUUUGCCUUAUAAUUGAAGGCUAGUAUGAAUGGUUUGACAUGAAUGUAGCUGUCUCUCUAUAAUUUAGUAGAAUUUUAUUUUCAGGUGAAGAAGCCUGUAUUUAAUUAAAAGACAAGAAGACCCUAUCGAGCUUUAAAAAAAUUGAUAGAAUUAAAAUUAAUAGCCUUAAAAAAUUAUCUAUCAAACAUUUUAGUUGGGGCGACUGAGGAACAUAAAAAGCUUCCUUUAAAAUUGAUUUAAGUCAUACAAGAAUUGAUCCAAAACAUUUUGAUUAAAGGAAUUAGUUACCGUAGGGAUAACAGCAUUAUCUUUUUUAAGAGCUCAUAUCGAAAAAAAGGUUUGUGACCUCGAUGUUGGACCAGAAUAUCCUAAAGGUGCAGCAGCCUUUAAGGGUUGGUCUGUUCGACCAUUAAAAUUCUACGUGA